UACGUAGGGGGCUAGCGUUGUCCGGAAUCAUUGGGCGUAAAGAGCGUGUAGGCGGCCCGGUAAGUCCGUUGUGAAAGUCGGGGGCUCAACCCUCGAAUGCCGGUGGAUACUGUCGGGCUAGAGUGCGGAAGAGGCGAGUGGAAUUCCUGGUGUAGCGGUGAAAUGCGCAGAUAUCAGGAGGAACACCAAUUGCGAAGGCAGCUCGCUGGGACGUAACUGACGCUGAGACGCGAAAGCGUGGGGAGCAAACAGG
Molecule: ribosomal RNA, 253 nt
Filed under: uncultured bacterium
Lineage: Bacteria
Description: partial 16S ribosomal RNA
Rfam family: Bacterial small subunit ribosomal RNA
Source: RNAcentral